GACCCAAUGGCACAGUUGGUUAGUGCGCCUGCUCUAAAUCAAAUACUCCUACAGUUGUGCGGCAGGAGUCCCUCGUUCGAACCGGGGUUGGGUCA
Mycena leptocephala is the source of this 95-nucleotide non-coding RNA. Lineage: Eukaryota; Fungi; Basidiomycota; Agaricomycetes; Agaricales; Mycenaceae. The record is from the annotation of a GenBank genome assembly.